CAGCAGCCACGGUAAUACGUAGGGUGCAAGCGUUAAUCGGAAUUACUGGGCGUAAAGCGUGCGCAGGCGGUUCGCUAAGACAGGUGUGAAAUCCCCGGGCUUAACCUGGGAACUGCGCUUGUGACUGCACAGCUAGAGUAUGGCAGAGGGGGGUGGAAUUCCACGUGUAGCAGUGAAAUGCGUAGAGAUGUGGAGGAACACCGAUGGCGAAGGCAGCCCCCUGGGCCAAUACUGACGCUCAUGCACGAAAGCGUGGGGAGCAAACAGGAUUAGAUACCCCUGUAGUCCCUGUCUCUUAUAC
This 301-nucleotide ribosomal RNA is filed under the name uncultured bacterium. Its description in RNAcentral is "partial 16S ribosomal RNA". It matches the Rfam family "Bacterial small subunit ribosomal RNA", at positions 509 to 807 of the family's 1533-position model. The record is from RNAcentral.